UACACCGGAGACCGACUCGCGGGUAGCUGACCGCGUUGUGAUGAGGAGCUGGCAAGGCUGCACAAGGCCUCCUACCUCGGAGGUCAGAUCCCAACUUAUAAUGGCAGGAAGAGCGCGUACACGUCCAGGCUGCUGCUGUUUACCGUUCAACGAGUUUCAUAUCACCUUUCUCGACGGAGAUGAUGUUCCGGUACAGACGGGCAUGAUAGUACUUUCAAAGUGGUGAUCAGGUUCGCUGCGAGGUCCGAUAUUCACCGUAUCGAGCAGUACAUAGCUGCAAGGCAGGCAGAGGAUCAUCGGGAGGCCCUGCAGAUUAUUCACAUUGUCCUGGUGAGCUGCCAACUGCUAGGUAGAGUACAUUGAUCUCUAGGUUUGUCGUGUAUUAUGAGACGUCGGUGAGAAAUUACUACAUUGAUAUGCUUUUUGUCCCCAUGAUUGUUUCACAGGUACGAGUCGUAUGGCCAAUCCUUCUCGCUGGACCUGGGGUGGAGGGGGUCCAUCGGUGAUGGAGUGGACAGUUGGCGCAGGUUUUAUCAGAGCAUAAGGCCUACUUAGGUACAAAGUCUCUGCACGAAGAAAAGAAAUGCCAACAGUUUUAGUUGGCCGUUGUUGAAGUUUCAACAUAUCAAUCCAUCAUCUUGUUAAUGUUUGGAUGAAAAACAAUGAUCGUGAAAUAUUGGUCUGAUUACUAAAUGGUGUGUUCUGAAGCCUCACAUGUAGA
Long non-coding RNA from Lolium rigidum, 721 nucleotides. RefSeq lists it as uncharacterized. The record is from RefSeq and is a predicted model, not a curated record. The transcript is spliced from 3 exons. Lineage: Eukaryota; Viridiplantae; Streptophyta; Magnoliopsida; Poales; Poaceae.